AUUGAACGCUGGCGGCAUGCUUUACACAUGCAAGUCGAACGGUAACAGGCCUUCGGGUGCUGACGAGUGGCGAACGGGUGAGUAAUGCAUCGGAACGUGCCCAGAGGUGGGGGAUAACGCAGCGAAAGCUGUGCUAAUACCGCAUGUGAUCUGAGGAUGAAAGCGGGGGACCAAGCAGCAAUGUUUGGCCUCGCGCCUCUGGAGCGGCCGAUGUCAGAUUAGGUAGUUGGUGGGGUAAAGGCCUACCAAGCCGACGAUCUGUAGCUGGUCUGAGAGGACGACCAGCCACACUGGGACUGAGACACGGCCCAGACUCCUACGGGAGGCAGCAGUGGGGAAUUUUGGACAAUGGGCGCAAGCCUGAUCCAGCAAUGCCGCGUGCGGGAAGAAGGCCUUCGGGUUGUAAACCGCUUUUGUACGGAACGAAAAGGCUCUGGCUAAUACCUGGGGCUGAUGACGGUACCAUAGAAUAAGCACCGGCUAACUACGUG
Molecule: ribosomal RNA, 491 nt
Filed under: uncultured bacterium
Lineage: Bacteria
Description: partial 16S ribosomal RNA
Rfam family: Bacterial small subunit ribosomal RNA
Source: RNAcentral